AGGGCCUUGAGGGGAAGCGUGUGAGGAGAGGCUGAGGGCACUUGGUCUGUUCAGCCUGAGGGGACAGAGAGGAGACCUCAGUGCAGAUACAGCUGCCUCGUGAGGGGAAGAGGAGGGACAGACACUGAUCUCUGCUCUCUGGUGACACUGACAGGACCCAAGGAAUGGCCUGAAGCUGUGCCAGGGGAGGUUCAGCUGCCAGGAGCCCAGAGGGAAUCACAGCCUGCAGGAGACACACAAACCAAGGAACACAAACAGGGGUCUGUGUCCCUGGCAAAGGAAUGGGGACAAAUGGAUGACCAGAACUGCACCCUGAAAAUAAUCUGCUCAUGGAGAUUGUCCUGGAAUAUUGGACUGGACCAGCUCUGUGAUGGUCAUGCCCAUUUUGAGACUCUCAUGUUAAUGCCACAAGAACUUCAGUCUACUGUAUAAUAUUUCAGACAUGGAGAGGAAAAAAAAAGAAGAAAUAAAGAAAAAGAAAAACCAGCCGUCUGCAUCCACUUAAACUACAUUACAAUAAAGCUCAGUAGAGAUCUGAUCAGCAGUUUUUUAGCCUGCCCUGAUUUAAUAUGAAAUAAAUUAGUGGAAAACUUAAAGGCUGAAAGGAAAUUUUUUGCCACUGUUUAAAACAGGACAUGAAUCCUUUAACAUAAUAUUUACACACACUAUAUUAAAUACUUUCUGCAAAGGUAAAAUUUAGCACUGCCAGCUUCAGACAGACUGGGAACGAAAUUUGUUUACACUUAAUAAAUCUGAUUUUGAGAAGAAAAAGUUUUGUUCUUUUUUCCUUUUUUUCCCCUCCUGUGUAUACACUAGCAUUGACAGAAAAUCCUUAUUUCAAAAUAUAUAAAUAUACUGAUUAAAAAACUGUUGAACACUUAAAGGAAAAGACACAAUUUGUAUUGUAUUUAGUAGUGUUUUCAUCUUGGCCUUCAAACUUGCUAUAAUCUGUUAUCUCUGGUGGUCCACAAAGCUUUUGAGAUUCUUGAAGCACCACGGCUUUCAGUGAUCUCUAUAUCCCAGCAUAGCUUUUAUUUGUGGUCAUUGCUAGUAGAUUUAGCAUGAAUUUUCUGACAGUAUACUCUAAUAUUUGGGAAGGAAGGUGUCUGUCAAGAAAUAUUAAAUUGUCAGAUGUGACAUUUUCAUCAGAAAGAACUGUCCAGUUUCUCCAGGGAAAAUUUUGUGAUCCAGGAUUGAACUGUUAUUCAAAACAAGAAGAUGGAUUUUUCCAGGGAAGACCCCAUAGUCCCCAGCCCAGCUCUUUGAGAACAUCUCAGAAGACAAUAUACAAAUCUCCUGCUCUGCUGACCCAGAACAAGGACAUGGCAUUAUAAUCUCAGAGCCUUAAACCUUCAGCUUUAUGUUGGAGGGGGUGUGAGAUGAAUGGACAAACAGAUUUCCCACAAGCUCAGCUGAGGAAAGAUUUGAAGGCUCAGAAAGAAGAGGCCACCACUGAAGUUUGCAGUGUCUCCUCCAGCUCAAAUAAAAUGAAGGAAAAAAAAAAAGGGUUAUAUUUGCUUAUAACAUAAAAGGUGGGCCUGUCACCAUUCUGAUUAAUUAAUUUAGUUUUGCAGUUUGGAUUAAUUACAGUGAAAUACCCAAAUACACUUCAUAGACACUAAUAUCUGUAGUUUUAUGACUGCUGAAUAAUUAAGUACUGCUUUUUCAGUUUCUCCAGGUGGGAAAAAUCAGGCAUAUUAAACCUUGGGCACUAUCAGCCACCCAAUAGGUCUGUAUAAAGGCUUGUGAUGGAGUCAAAAUAUUACAUUAUUUAGCCGAAAGAUUCAGUCUCAAAGGGUACUACUAUCUU
Molecule: long non-coding RNA, 1810 nt
Organism: Passer domesticus (house sparrow)
Lineage: Eukaryota; Metazoa; Chordata; Aves; Passeriformes; Passeridae
Exons: 5
Source: RefSeq, a predicted model, not a curated record